CCCAUAAUGCUUCGGGGGAUGUAAACAGGAAGGAUAAAGUUAAACUGGCCUACAACUUGAGCCACAUUUUCUUUUGACAUAGAUAUUUGUCCACGAUGUGGGACAUUAGCAGCAUUAAACACCAAAUUAGCUAAAAAAAUAAAUAAUCAUGAAUGUACAGACAACUAUCACUGUUUAACUUUGAUAAUGAAGAAAACCUAAAAACGGGAAGAUUUUUAGGCAAGUUCUGGAUUUAUGAAAAACGUCUUUUUUCUACGCGGAUUUAUGGACGUUUACUCGCAACAUCGGGGAUAAUGAUAUCUUCAGAAAGAAUUCUCUCUUUGGAAAACAACGGCCAACAAAACUUGCAUAAGAAAUCCUGCUUGGGUAAUCCACUUCUGGCCUGUACUUGAGCCAGCUGCCAUCUCAAGUCUUCAAAUUAUGAUUGGAUCGAUCUGUCCAGCUCAAACAACCGUACACGGUUUCCUUCUUUACCGCCUCCUCCUGCUGCAGCUCUCAGCUGUUUUAGAGGCGAGGCGACCAUCUGGCUGCU
Long non-coding RNA from Centropristis striata (black sea bass), 532 nucleotides. RefSeq lists it as uncharacterized. Lineage: Eukaryota; Metazoa; Chordata; Actinopteri; Perciformes; Serranidae. The record is from RefSeq and is a predicted model, not a curated record. The transcript has 3 exons.